Molecule: long non-coding RNA, 307 nt
Filed under: Mus caroli (Ryukyu mouse)
Lineage: Eukaryota; Metazoa; Chordata; Mammalia; Rodentia; Muridae
Description: lncRNA (MGP_CAROLIEiJ_G0006606.1)
Source: RNAcentral
GGCAGAUACAAAGCAUCUUGUCCUGUGAGUGUGUCUGAGAGAUGUUUGCAGACAGAAAUUGGAGAUAGGAGAUCAUCCCCAAGAGAAGUGAGAGAAAAUUCAGUUGCCAGGAAGUAAAGAAAGGAACUUUUUAAGUAUCUGGGAAGCACAGUAACUUUAGCUCUAGACACUGUGGCUCUGCUUUACAUUACUCUAAUCUCCUUAAGGCCUCACCUGUGUCUAAUACAUCUUUGGUAACUCCAAACCUAACCUAACAUAAUAACUUGGCAUAACGUAUGUUCAAUAAAUAUUUUCUAAGUUAAUAACA